UGGUGUUUGCUAUUCCAGUGCUGAGAUACCAUGGUUAAGGAGGGAGGAGAGGGCAGGAAGAAAAGAAAAACUCCUUUGCCACUGCUGCUUCUACUCCCUACCAUUUAGAUUGGGCAGUUGUUGCUGGAAAUACCUCCCCUCUUCAUCCCCUGCUCAAGACUGAACACUCUUUUAGAACAAAGAAAAGCGACUAAGCAAAAGCAUCCCAACAUAGUGACAACAUCUGACUAUGUAUAUAGCAUUCUGCUCCAACAGUCCCCUAAUUUUCUGCUGUUAGAAAGGAGCAUAAGACAAGACAUCACAUAUUAUCCACCAUUUUACUAUGAACAUUGUGAUGUCAUUGGUGAAAACAGAGGCCCAGCAAUAAUAACAUCCAUACCAGAAAAAUAGAGAAGCACAGAAAAAGCAAAGUGAAGGGCUCCAGAAACAAGCUUCUCGUCACAAAUUUGCUCGGGGAUUGCUCUGUGUUCCAUAUUCAUAAUAGUGUCUGAGCUUUGCUCCUCUGGGAGAAAUUCUGCACCAGAAGACAAUCAGGUCAUGAUUCAGUUACACCCUAAGCCUUUCAUUAGGUCUUGCUACUGCCAUCAGUCGUGGCCUGCUGAGCACAACAACAGCAACAACAAAAAACACAGAAUCCAACCUAUUCAUUUCACAUGGCAACAUGAAACCUUCCAGUGAAUACAGCUCUUUUUGCAAGCGUGAGGACCAAACCAGCCUGACACUGAAUCAGAUUCAUCCUGCAUAUGACUUCCUUCAAACUCUAACAUGGAAAUGAAACUACCAGGGACCUUGACACAUUUCUUGCAGACCUCACUGUACCUCCUAAUUUCUUUCCUGUCUCUGAGUAAAAUCCCUUCUCUUCAGACCACCUCUGCUGCAGAAGGAGAGUUCAAUGUAGCAAGAUCUUUGAAGGAGCAGCCAGAGAUAAUUUGCAUAAAUCUGCCCAACCACCUUGAAGAGAGACAGAAGAUCAAGAGACAAAUGGAAAGAUAGUGGGAAUGCUUCCCUAAACCCCAAAAGUCUCAGUGGUGAUAUAAGCAUGAAGACAGGAAUACCAAGAGGAGAAGGAGGUUGUGGACUCACCAUGAUCCUAUCCCAAGUGAAAAACAGACAUGCUUGAAGAGUCCAAGAAAGAAAUAGAUCUCCACAGUCAUU
Non-coding RNA from Phascolarctos cinereus (koala), 1155 nucleotides. Lineage: Eukaryota; Metazoa; Chordata; Mammalia; Diprotodontia; Phascolarctidae. The record is from RefSeq and is a predicted model, not a curated record.